RNAcentral lists this ribosomal RNA (659 nucleotides) under uncultured bacterium. RNAcentral describes it as "bacterial SSU rRNA". It matches the Rfam family "Bacterial small subunit ribosomal RNA", at positions 166 to 841 of the family's 1533-position model. The record is from RNAcentral.
AUACCGCAUAAGCCCACAGCUCGGCAUCGAGCAGAGGGAAAAGGAGCAAUCCGCUUUGAGAUGGCCUCGCGUCCGAUUAGCUAGUUGGUGAGGUAACGGCCCACCAAGGCGACGAUCGGUAGCCGGACUGAGAGGUUGAACGGCCACAUUGGGACUGAGACACGGCCCAGACUCCUACGGGAGGCAGCAGUGGGGAAUAUUGCACAAUGGGGGAAACCCUGAUGCAGCGACGCCGCGUGGAGGAAGAAGGUCUUCGGAUUGUAAACUCCUGUUGUUGAGGAAGAUAAUGACGGUACUCAACAAGGAAGUGACGUUUUUUUAUGUGCCAGCAGCCGCGGUAAAACGUAGGUCACAAGCGUUGUCCGGAAUUACUGGGUGUAAAGGGAGCGCAGGCGGGAGAACAAGUUGGAAGUGAAAUCCAUGGGCUCAACCCAUGAACUGCUUUCAAAACUGUUUUUCUUGAGUAGUGCAGAGGUAGGCGGAAUUCCCGGUGUAGCGGUGGAAUGCGUAGAUAUCGGGAGGAACACCAGUGGCGAAGGCGGCCUACUGGGCACCAACUGACGCUGAGGCUCGAAAGUGUGGGUAGCAAACAGGAUUAGAUACCCUGGUAGUCCACACCGUAAACGAUGAUUACUAGGUGUUGGAGGAUUGACCCCUUC